Molecule: ribosomal RNA, 554 nt
Filed under: Candida albicans
Lineage: Eukaryota; Fungi; Ascomycota; Pichiomycetes; Serinales; Debaryomycetaceae
Description: partial large subunit ribosomal RNA
Rfam family: Eukaryotic large subunit ribosomal RNA
Source: RNAcentral
GGAGGAAAAGAAACCAACAGGGAUUGCCUCAGAAGCGGCGAGUGAAGCGGCAAAAGCUCAAAUUUGAAAUCGGGCGUCUUUGGCGUCCGAGUUGUAAUUUGAAGAAGGUAUCUUUGGGCCCGGCUCUUGUCUAUGUUCCUUGGAACAGGACGUCACAGAGGGUGAGAAUCCCGUGCGAUGAGAUGACCCGGGUCUGUGUAAAGUUCCUUCGACGAGUCGAGUUGUUUGGGAAUGCAGCUCUAAGUGGGUGGUAAAUUCCAUCUAAAGCUAAAUAUUGGCGAGAGACCGAUAGCGAACAAGUACAGUGAUGGAAAGAUGAAAAGAACUUUGAAAAGAGAGUGAAAAAGUACGUGAAAUUGUUGAAAGGGAAGGGCUUGAGAUCAGACUUGGUAUUUUGCAUGCUGCUCUCUCGGGGGCGGCCGCUGCGGUUUACCGGGCCAGCAUCGGUUUGGAGCGGCAGGAUAAUGGCGGAGGAAUGUGGCACGGCUUCUGCUGUGUGUUAUAGCCUCUGACGAUACUGCCAGCCUAGACCGAGGACUGCGGUUUACCUAGGA